UCUGGUGGUCAUAGCGAGAGCAAAACACCCAGCCCCAUCCCGAACCUGGCCGUUAAGUGCCUUAGCGCUGAUGGUACUGCGUCUUAAGACGUGGGAGAGUAAGUCACCGCCAGAC
This 115-nucleotide ribosomal RNA is filed under the name Oceanicola sp. 22II-s10i. The record is from RNAcentral. Lineage: Bacteria; Pseudomonadati; Pseudomonadota; Alphaproteobacteria; Rhodobacterales; Roseobacteraceae.